AGUGAACGCUGGCGGUAGGCCUAACACAUGCAAGUCGAACGGCAGCACCGUAAGAGCUUGCUCUUACGGGUGGCGAGUGGCGGACGGGGGCGGAAUACACCGGAAUCUACUUUUUCGUGGGGGCUAACGUCGGGUAACUUACGCUAAUACCGCAUACGACCUACGGGUGAAAGCAGGGGAUCUUCGGACCUUGCGCGAUUGAAUGAGCCGAUGUCGGAUUAGCUAGUUUGCGGGGUAAAGGCCCAGCAAGGCUACGAUCGGAAGCUGGUCUGAGAGGAAGGUCAGCCACACUGGAAGUGAGACACGUCCCAGACUCCUACGGGAGGAAACAGUGGGGAAUAUUGGAGGAUGGGCGCGUGCCUGAUCCAGCAAUACCGGGGAAGUGAAGAAGGCCUUCGGGUGGUAAAGUGCUUUUGUUGUGAAAGAAAUGCAGCAGGUUUAUACGCCGCGGUACUGACGGUACCCAAAGAAUAAGCACCGGCUAACUUCGUG
This 492-nucleotide ribosomal RNA is filed under the name uncultured bacterium. Its description in RNAcentral is "partial 16S ribosomal RNA". It matches the Rfam family "Bacterial small subunit ribosomal RNA", at positions 29 to 507 of the family's 1533-position model. The record is from RNAcentral.